Molecule: ribosomal RNA, 460 nt
Filed under: uncultured bacterium
Lineage: Bacteria
Description: partial 16S ribosomal RNA
Rfam family: Bacterial small subunit ribosomal RNA
Source: RNAcentral
CCUACGGGAGGCAGCAGUGAGGAAUAUUGGUCAAUGGGCGAGAGCCUGAACCAGCCAAGUCGCGUGAAGGAUGACGGCCCUACGGGUUGUAAACUUCUUUUGUCAGGGAGCAAUUGGGUCCACGCGUGGGCUUAGCGAGAGUACCUGAAGAAAAAGCAUCGGCUAACUCCGUGCCAGAAGCCGCGGUAAUACGGAGGAUGCGAGCGUUAUCCGGAUUUAUGGGGUUUAAAGGGUGCGUGGGCGGAAUAUCAAGGCAGCGGUAAAACUUCGGGGCUAAACCCCGUCGUGCCGUUGAAACUGGUGUUCUUGAGUGGGCGUGAAGUAGGCGGAAUGCGUGGUGUAGCGGUGAAAUGCAUAGAUAGCACGCAGAACUCCGAUUGCGAAGGCAGCAUACCGGCGCCCAACUGACGCUGAAGCACGAAAGCGUGGGUAUCGAACAGGAUUAGAUACCCGGGUAGUC